Molecule: long non-coding RNA, 757 nt
Organism: Callithrix jacchus (white-tufted-ear marmoset)
Lineage: Eukaryota; Metazoa; Chordata; Mammalia; Primates; Cebidae
Source: Ensembl
GAAACAAGUGUACAAAUCUGAAGUAAAGAAAACAUUACUAGGGGAGAAUCUUGAAAUAGAAAGAUGCUCAAGAUCUAAGCCAGGAACGUCUCAGGCAUGGAAUGAGCAAACAUAGCCUUUGUGUGCAAAGACCUUGGGAGGACUUGAAGAAUCACUGCAAGUUCAAGUCUGAGGAUUUGUUAUAAGCCUAGAAGAACUUAUUAUCAUUCCAGCUAACCAUUCAUGUUCCAACUAUCUCUAUGGAUAAGCUGCUCUUUGGACUACUCAGAAAGUUUGGUAAAAUGCUCAGGUCAUGCACGCCUUUAUUGGAUAAGUGACCAGUGCUGUGGAUGACAUCACCAAUAUGAUCAACAUCUUCAAAAACUCAUUUUCUUGGGAAUUCCAUCAAGAAGGUCUGCUCUGCCUAUCACCACAGACUCUAGUCUUCAGCUGGGGCAGAACCCCCUGUGCCUUACUAUUUGCCACUUGUCAAGUCCACAAUGAUAUUGGCAAGUCAGCACCAGGUCUGAACUCUACUCUCUUUGUGGAACGGGAACUCUUUUCAGAAGACUUUGCUUUUUCUCAUAAGCUGACCCAGAAAAUCAAGUAUCUGGCCCCUUUUACCCCUGUGAUGGAGGAGAGCAUUCUUGGGAAUAGAUGUCAAGUGAACCAACCUGUGGGAUUUACCUCUAUUAGGGAGGCGACUACUUCAUGUGAUGCAGGAUCAGCCUGGAGUAGACCUAAAGACAGAUAUUUUUUCAACUGCCCAAUUUGUUGA